CCUUAUCUAUGAAAAAGAAAAUCAAGUUAAAUAACAAUAAAACAUUAUCAUAAAUUAUUAGAUAAUAACUGAACACACGAUGACAAGUAUUAAGUGUUAAUUUUAAAGGUAUCCAUUAAUUAGUACAUAGCAACGAUGGCAAGUGAACAUGUCUAAAUUGUUUAAACGUUUUGUGUUUAUAUGAUACUUUUAUAUUAGUUAAAUAUUAGUGUGGAUAUGACAGUAAACUUAGCAUCGCAAUCCUACCAAAUCCACAUAUAAUUUUUGAUAGGCAAGAAACCUUAUCAUUAUUAGUCAAUAAAUUAAAACUAUCCAAGUUCAACCAAAAAAAAUGCACAAGUUCAUCGCCAUUAAGUUAUUGUUUAUUUAUAAACAAAAACUUUUAAAAUAAGUUGUUUACCCUUUCGUAUUCAUCUAACCACUUUUCUUCCUCAACAGCAAAUUUCCAUUUCUUUGUCCUAUCUAGGAUAUCUCUUGUGCUUAGAGCUUGUUCCUUGUCCAGUCUUAUCUAUGUUUUGAUACAAAUGAGACAGAUCAACAUUACCUGUAAAGCCAUCAAAAGUGUUCAAAGAAAAAUUAGAGCCAACAAAUACUACGAACAAACACAACAAUAAUUUUCUAAAGUAUUUAAGUGGAAAAGAUUAAAAAAAUUAAGUGAAAUCUUAUUAUAUGCAUCCACAAAUACUUUUGAAAAAAGAGAGUUCUAAAAAUUAUAAAGGAGAUAAUAAGAUAGGUUUUGUACUACAUUUGAAAUAUAAGCAUGACUACAAUAGAAACACUUUAACUAUAUAAAUUGAUUUUAGCAACAGUGAAACACUCACAAGUUGAAAUGAAACUCAAUGAAGUGGUAUAGGCAAGUAGAAUCAGAAAGCCUGAGUUUUUAAAUAAUUACCUGCCAGUUUUCAUACAACAAAAGGUUGUGUGUGGUGAUAGAUGCCAUAGGUAGUGAAUGGGGUAGUACACUGCUAAACAUUAUCGCUUACUAUUCACUAGCAGAUACCAUAAUGUGGCCUAUACUGUAAGGUCUAAAACAAAAUCAUUAUAGGAAAAGUUUGCAUUUAAUACCUCUAAGAAAGGGGGCAAUGUUAAGUAUUGUAGCUUAAAAGAGGUCAAGAGAAGAAAUACGAAAUUCUCUUACUAUCGCUCUCACCUUAGAAGCUGAACAUUUAUAAAACUGAAACGCAGUGACAAAUUCAGCUACUUAUACUCGACUAGAAGUAUGUUCUGCAAACUCUCCCACCUGCAUAAUAUUAACAGAUUGUAAUAUAUAUAUAUAUAUAUAUAUAUAUAUAUAUAUAUAUAUAUAUAUAUAUAUAUAUAUAUAUAUAUAUAAUGUUUAAAAAAAUAGCCCUUGCAUCAUAAUUAACAUACAUUAAAAAUACAUACCUAUAAAAUAUAAUCCAUAGAGGCUUUUGUCCUAUUCCCCUAUUAAAAACUUGUGCAGGAAAAGCUGUGAAAAAGUGAAAAUUAAUCCCAUUGGCGGAACAGAAGAAACAUGCUUGAACUAGGAUAAGUUCUACAACCAAUUUAUGUGUAUAAACUCUAUACACUACUAGGAAAAAGUUUGACUUAGUAUAGCACAUCAAUUAGAGAAUUUGAUAGUGGGUAAGGCAAUUUUUUACAGUGGGUAAGGCAAUUUUUGACUUAGUAGAACAAAUCAAUAUAAUGUCAUUAUAUAUGCUAAAAAGGAUUGGAGAAUUGGAGUUUCAGCCAAUAAUAAUAACAUUACAGUUAGUUGACAUAUAUGUCAAGCAUUCCUAUGAUAAUUGGAGGAUUUAUUGGUCAAAGUAGUACUUUCUAGCAACCUCUGCUCUCAUAUUCUUGCAGUAAAUUCCUCAAUUAAUGGACGCUGAUAGAUAGUAGCAUAAAAAGAAUUGCUUGUUUUUAUAAUAAAAAAGAAUCUAGCCUAUGUUCUACUCACAUAAGUGUUUUUGAGCAGCCAGAAAGUUUAAAUUUACUAACAAACUUGAUUUAAAAAAAGUAAUAAUAAUAAAAAGUCUUCAACAAUUUACCAACAGUGAAGAUGAAACUGAUUCAACAUGUCAAGCUCUUAGGAGACCUUUCCUGCUUAAAAAUGACCUUCCAGGUCCAUAAGAGUUGUCAAUAUUUCAAGAAAGAAGUAGGAAAAUAGAAUAUGUGAAAAUAUAAUUAACCAACUUGAAUUGUCAAUAUUUUCCUGAAUUAACCAACCUGAAUUAUUGUCAAUAUUUAUUCCAACCCUUAUGUUUUUUUUCAUCUGCAAGUUUCUACCUAUUAAGCCAGAUAGACUCAAGUUUGGAAAUAGAGAAAUAAGAUAUUAAUUAAACCCAUCGCAUAAAGUCUGAGUACCAAAAACUAGACUACAAAGAUGUUGUGUAGAAGAGGAAUGAUGAGAAAAUCCCGUCAGUCACCAAUCACAACCAGAAUUUCAUGAAAAUUUACAAGAUAAUAUGCAAUGGAUAAUUAAAUAGUAACUGAAUUUUUUAACUAAAAAAAAAGGUAAAAAAAUACCUCCUAUCAUAAAGGAUGGUAGCAUGACCAUGGAAAUCUUUAAAAUGAUUAUCAAGUAACACUAUUGAACCAAGACUAAUAUAACAAUCAGGCUUUACAAAUCACCCUUUGCAUACUAUAUUUGAUAAUUUUUUUUAAAUAUGUUCUUACUAAAGUUAAGAGUUAAUUUCCUAUAUAUUAUCUCCAUUAUUCAAGUUCUCAAGUACACAACUUAAAAGAAUAGAGUAAACACACAUAUAUGUUAGUUGCUGGAAUAUUUAUGUAAAUAAAAUGUUUACCUGCAGUUAAUUAAGAAUCCACUAUAGUAUUGAGGAAGUUUUAUUGUAUGUCUGCAUUUGAAACAAAGAAAAGGUGCAUAUUCAAUAAAUAUAUAGCGUUAAUUGUUGGAUGUAGUUUUUAUCCCUAAGACUUUAGUUGAUGUAUAGGUGUAACUUUACCUUCAAAAAGUUUCUAGAAACUGAAUCAAUUCAUUGGGAUUUUAGAUUUAAGUUGCAUUAAAUUAUGGAGAAAUACCUUUCUCUUACUCUUACUUCAGAUUGAAUACAUAAAAUUCAAAACCCCAAGUGCUUGCUAAUGACUGAAUAAGAAAAGCCAACAAAUUCAUGAAUAACAACAUCAUCGUCACCUAAUUUUCUUCCAUUUUGAUCUUCAACAUCUUCACCAUCAUAUCUUUGGCCCUUUUACAGGGUAAUUUUUCCCUCCUUUCAUUUCUUCGUUUAUCCAAAACAGAUUGAUAUACGCCCAAAAGAUUUUUCCUUAC
RNAcentral lists this long non-coding RNA (3250 nucleotides) under Vigna radiata. RNAcentral describes it as "long non-coding RNA (VRAD_LNC000919)". Lineage: Eukaryota; Viridiplantae; Streptophyta; Magnoliopsida; Fabales; Fabaceae. The record is from RNAcentral.